RNAcentral lists this ribosomal RNA (1038 nucleotides) under Phialosporostilbe scutiformis. RNAcentral describes it as "SSU rRNA". It matches the Rfam family "Eukaryotic small subunit ribosomal RNA", at positions 64 to 1114 of the family's 1831-position model. The record is from RNAcentral. Lineage: Eukaryota; Fungi; Ascomycota; Sordariomycetes; Chaetosphaeriales; Chaetosphaeriaceae.
UAUAGCAUUAUACAGCGAAACUGCGAAUGGCUCAUUAAAUCAGUUAUCGUUUAUUUGAUAGUGCCUGUCCUACUUGGAUAACCGUGGUAAUUCUAGAGCUAAUACAUGCUAAAAAUCCCGACUUCGGAAGGGAUGCAUUUAUUGGAUACAGAACCAACGCCCUCCGGGGCUUUCUGGUGAAUCACAAUAACUCCGCGGAUCGCACGGCCUUGCGCCGGCGAUGGUUCAUUCAAAUUUCUGCCCUAUCAACUUUCGACGGCUGGGUCUUGGCCAGCCGUGGUGACAACGGGUAACGGAGGGUUAGGGCUUGACCCCGGAGAAGGAGCCUGAGAGACGGCUACUACAUCCAAGGAAGGCAGCAGGCGCGCAAAUUACCCAAUCCCGACACGGGGAGGUAGUGACAAUAAAUACUGAUCCAGGGCUCUUUUGGGUCUUGGAAUUGGAAUGAGUACAAUUUAAAUCCCUUAACGAGGAACAAUUGGAGGGCAAGUCUGGUGCCAGCAGCCGCGGUAAUUCCAGCUCCAAUAGCGUAUAUUAAAGUUGUUGAGGUUAAAAAGCUCGUAGUUGAACCUUGGCCCUGGCUGGCCGGUCCGCCUCACCGCGAGCACUGGUCCGGCCGGGGCUUUCCCUCUGGGGAUCCUCAUGCCCUUCACUGGGUGUGCUGGGGAACCAGGACUUUUACUGUGAACAAAUCAGAUCGCUCAAAGAAGGCUCUCGCUCGAAUGCUUCAGCAUGGAAUAAUGAAAUAGGACGCGUGGUUCUAUUUUGUUGGUUUCUAGGACCGCCGUAAUGAUUAAUAGGGACAGUCGGGGGCGUCAGUAUUCAAUCGUCAGAGGUGAAAUUCUUGGACCGAUUGAAGACUAACUACUGCGAAAGCAUUCGCCAAGGAUGUUUUCAUUAAUCAGGAACGAAAGUUAGGGGAUCGAAGACGAUCAGAUACCGUCGUAGUCUUAACCAUAAACUAUGCCGAUUAGGGAUCGGACGAUGUUAUUUUUUGACUCGUUCGGCACCUUACGAUAAAUCAAAAUUCUUGGGCUC